UAGGAUAUAGCUCAGUGGCAAAGUGCUUGCCUAGCAAGUAAAAUGUUCUGGGUUUGGGCCCCAGUACCUCAA
This 72-nucleotide transfer RNA is filed under the name Dipodomys ordii (Ord's kangaroo rat). It matches the Rfam family "tRNA". From Rfam's summary of the family: Transfer RNA (tRNA) molecules are approximately 80 nucleotides in length. Their secondary structure includes four short double-helical elements and three loops (D, anti-codon, and T loops). The record is from Rfam by way of RNAcentral. Lineage: Eukaryota; Metazoa; Chordata; Mammalia; Rodentia; Heteromyidae.